CAGGCCUAACACAUGCAAGUCGAACGAUGCUUUCGGGCAUAGUGGCGCACGGGUGCGUAACGCGUGGGAAUCUGCCCCUGGGUUCGGAAUAACAGUUAGAAAUGACUGCUAAUACCGGAUGAUGACGUAAGUCCAAAGAUUUAUCGCCCAGGGAUGAGCCCGCGUAGGAUUAGCUAGUUGGUGGGGUAAAGGCCUACCAAGGCGACGAUCCUUAGCUGGUCUGAGAGGAUGAUCAGCCACACUGGGACUGAGACACGGCCCAGACUCCUACGGGAGGCAGCAGUGGGGAAUAUUGGACAAUGGGCGAAAGCCUGAUCCAGCAAUGCCGCGUGAGUGAUGAAGGCCUUAGGGUUGUAAAGCUCUUUUACCCGGGAUGAUAAUGAC
RNAcentral lists this ribosomal RNA (384 nucleotides) under uncultured bacterium. Its description in RNAcentral is "bacterial SSU rRNA". It matches the Rfam family "Bacterial small subunit ribosomal RNA", at positions 43 to 455 of the family's 1533-position model. The record is from RNAcentral.